GUCCUACGGGGGGCAGCAGUGGGGAAUAUUGGACAAUGGGGGGAACCCUGAUCCAGCGACGCCGCGUGAGUGAAGAAGUAUUUCGGUAUGUAAAGCUCUAUCAGCAGGGAAGAAAGAAAUGACGGUACCUGACUAAGAAGCCCCGGCUAACUCCGUGCCAGCAGCCGCGGUAAUACGGAGGGUGCAAGCGUUAUCCGGAUUUACUGGGUGUAAAGGGAGCGUAGACGGCGGUGCAAGCCAGAUGUGAAAGCCCGGGGC
RNAcentral lists this ribosomal RNA (258 nucleotides) under uncultured bacterium. RNAcentral's name for it is "partial 16S ribosomal RNA". It matches the Rfam family "Bacterial small subunit ribosomal RNA", at positions 335 to 608 of the family's 1533-position model. The record is from RNAcentral.